GACGAACGCUGGCGGCGUGCCUAAUACAUGCAAGUAGAACGCUGAAGAGAGGAGCUUGCUCUUCUUGGAUGAGUUGCGAACGGGUGAGUAACGCGUAGGUAACCUGCCUUGUAGCGGGGGAUAACUAUUGGAAACGAUAGCUAAUACCGCAUAACAAUGGAUGACACAUGUCAUUUAUUUGAAAGGGGCAAUUGCUCCACUACAAGAUGGACCUGCGUUGUAUUAGCUAGUAGGUGAGGUGAUGGCUCACCUAGGCGACGAUACAUAGCCGACCUGAGAGGGUGAUCGGCCACACUGGGACUGAGACACGGCCCAGACUCCUACGGGAGGCAGCAGUAGGGAAUCUUCGGCAAUGGGGGCAACCCUGACCGAGCAACGCCGCGUGAGUGAAGAAGGUUUUCGGAUCGUAAAGUUCUGUUGUAAGUCAAGAACGGGUGUGAGAGUGGAAAGUUCACACUGUGACGGUAGCUUACCAGAAAGGGACGGCUAACUACGUG
RNAcentral lists this ribosomal RNA (497 nucleotides) under uncultured bacterium. RNAcentral describes it as "partial 16S ribosomal RNA". It matches the Rfam family "Bacterial small subunit ribosomal RNA", at positions 28 to 507 of the family's 1533-position model. The record is from RNAcentral.